This 464-nucleotide ribosomal RNA is filed under the name uncultured bacterium. Its description in RNAcentral is "partial 16S ribosomal RNA". It matches the Rfam family "Bacterial small subunit ribosomal RNA", at positions 28 to 506 of the family's 1533-position model. The record is from RNAcentral.
GACGAACGCUGGCGGCGUGCUUAACACAUGCAAGUCGAACGGAAAGGCCCUGCUUGCCGGGUACUCGAGUGGCGAACGGGUGAGUAACACGUGGGUGAUCUGCCCUGCACUUCGGGAUAAGCCUGGGAAACUGGGUCUAAUACCGGAUAGGAGCCAUUUUUAUGGUGAUGGUUGGAAAGUUUUUUCGGUGUAGGAUGAGCUCGCGGCCUAUCAGCUUGUUGGUGGGGUAAUGGCCUACCAAGGCGGCGACGGGUAGCCGGCCUGAGAGGGUGGACGGCCACAUUGGGACUGAGAUACGGCCCAGACUCCUACGGGAGGCAGCAGUGGGGAAUAUUGCACAAUGGGCGCAAGCCUGAUGCAGCGACGCCGCGUGGGGGAUGACGGCCUUCGGGUUGUAAACUCCUUUCGCUAGGGACGAAGCUUUUUGUGACGGUACCUAGAUAAGAAGCACCGGCUAACUACGG